AAAUAAAUAAAUAAACUCUGAUGCUAGCAGAGCACACACAAGAAAAGUAACUGCACUGGAUCCCAAAGACGGGUGGACCUCUUUCUUAAUGUUCAGUGUCCUUUGUCUUAAGAUUUGGUGCAAUAAGU
Small nucleolar RNA from Microtus ochrogaster (prairie vole), 128 nucleotides. NCBI's taxonomy places the organism in Eukaryota, Metazoa, Chordata, Mammalia, Rodentia, Cricetidae. The record is from Ensembl.